This 234-nucleotide ribosomal RNA is filed under the name Triticum aestivum (bread wheat). RNAcentral's name for it is "partial small subunit ribosomal RNA". The record is from RNAcentral. Lineage: Eukaryota; Viridiplantae; Streptophyta; Magnoliopsida; Poales; Poaceae.
AUGAUUGAAUUUAAAAGAUUCCAACGCUGUGCUGAUUGUGUGCAAAUAAUUAGAUGGGUGUGUGAGUUGGAGAAGAGUGUUCGUGCAGGGAGGAAGGUUGAGGAGAAAGAAUUUGUUGUCUUGACAGAGCUGCUUAUGGUGCAGCCGCUGAAACUCGAUGGCAUAGAGGCAGAGGGAAAAGCAAGGGCACAAAGGAAGGCAGAGCUCCCAGGCUGUUCACAGCCGCCACCCUAG